GACAUCGUCAAGGUGCACCCUCAGUGUCUGUGGAGGCUGAAUAAUGCCCUCCCCACCCAAGGAUGCCCAUGUUCUAAUCUUCAGAACCCAUGCAUGUCACCUUCUAUGACAAAAGGAACUUCACACAUGGGAUGGAGUGAAGGGUCUGGAGAUGGGGAGAUGAUCCCGGAUGAUCCAGGGAACCCCACAGGUUACCACAAGGUCCUUACGAGAAGAAGGCAGGAGGGAGAAAAUCAGAGAAGGAGCGGCAAGGACAAAGCGGGGUCAGGGUGAGAUGAGAGGACAGACACACAGAGACACGGAAACCAGCCCUGGGUCACACAGCUGGGAAGCGGCCGUGACUUUCCUACUCAGGCCCGUGGCACACGGAGCCCCAGAGAAAGGCUCAGGAGAAGGGAGACGCGUGGGACUAAUGGUCUUGGAAGCACAGCCGGGGUGACGGAAGGUUCAGGAUGGCCCCUCAGGAGACCUGAGCUCUCGCCCAAGAACGCUGGGGCAGCUGGAUACCUCUUCCAGGCCUCAGAUACCUCAUUUGUCAAAAGGGGGAGUCAGACAAAACCAUCUCUGAACUCCUUCUAACUAUAACAUGUGUGGUCUGAAAUUUUUAAAAAGGGAAAGGCAAAGAAAGCAGAGAAGAGGUGAAGAGAGGAGGGGAAAAAAGAACAGAGAAAAAUCUCUGUGUGCUGGGGGACUGCUUUCCUUCUAGCUCUGAUGUACUUAUCUCUGUCCAUAAAGAGAAAUCCCUCCCCAUCAUACUGUUGACUUUUGGCCCUUCGUCUACAUUACCAAACCUCGUUCUUACUGCAUCUGUGCUUCUAUUAUGAGUGGCGUCUUUCCAUCCUGAAGUAGGCAGGGUAAAAACAAAUGAAACCAGGGAUCCCAAUUACCUCACUUGUCUGUGUUCAACGGCAGAGGCACAGAGAGCCGAAAAUGCAAGAACACGGUAGCUAGGAGGGACCGAUUCUCAUGCAGGGACAACAGUGCCAGCCCUAGGCAGUAUCACAGGUGCUGGGUUGGGGUCUGGGCUGAGAAUCUGGGUCUCAUCAGCGACAUCAACAUGGAUCAUGCCACCAGCAGUGACAGCAUCUUCAUGCAGCCAGAAGCCGCUGACUCUAUGAAGAAUGGAAGACGGCCUCGAGUACUUUCCAGGUACUGGCACAUUGCCAAGGCCUCUCACGUCCCCCUUCCUGCCUGAAAAUCCACUGUUCAUGUGCUACUUCUGCCAGAGGUUUAGAUAAGAGGAGGGAGUACACAGUUGUCUGAAGGUAAGGGGCACCAUCCUGGGACCUUCCACAUACUCCUCAGUGAGCAAUAGUGCACCCUAUGUUUGAACUGAGGAGACAGGGAGACUUGAGGCAGAUCAGGGCUUCUGGACCGUGGUUCAAUUUGCUGCCCAGGUCCAUCCGGGGGCAGCAUCCCUGGCACCAUUUGCUUUUACCUAAUAAUCCAACACACGCACUAAAGAAAGGAGGAAAGUCACCCCUGCUUCCAUCUCUCAUCUACUGCAUUCAUGGCCCAUCCCAACUUUACAACUUUAUUUUUAUUUUUAUUUUUUUUUGAGAUGGAGUUUCGCCCUUAUUGCCCAGGCUGGAGUGCAAUGGUGCGAUCUCAGCUCACCGCAACCUCUGCCUCCUAGGUUCAAGCGAUUCUCCGGCCUCAGCCUCCCGAGUAACUGGGAUUACAGGCAUGUGCCACCACGCCUGGCUAAUUUUGUAUUUUUAGUAGAGACAGGGUUUCUCCAUGUUAGUCAGGCUGGUCUCGAACUUCCGACCUCAGGUGAUCUGCCCACCUCGGCCUCCCAAAGUGCUGGGAUUACAGGUGUGAGCCACUGCACCUGGCCUACAACUUUCUAAGGUAAGGUAUCCCACCAUUGGGUGAAGUCUGGUCCCAAUAAUCAGAUAACAGAAAUCACUCAAAAGCAAAGACGUCCUACCUGCCAUGUAGGUGAUCACACUUUGACAUUUCUUUCUGCCUCUACCCAUACAGGUUUGAACUUCACUAAGGAAAAAGAAUAGCCUGUACAAAUGUCAAAGCCCGAAGUGAAAACUGAAGUCCUCAGCAUAAGCAGGAACCAUUCCCAGAUGGGAGGGAAAGUGCCUAGAAAGUUGCUGAGUCCACACUCAAGUUGUUGUUUGAUAAGUUUUACAAAAUGACAAAGAUUGGGCCAUAGACAGACAUAUUUGAUGUACAUUCUGGUAUUUGCAGAUUUGAUCAGGCUGGAAUACAGCAGCUCAAUCUCGGCUCACUGCAACCUCCGCUUCCUGGGUUCAAGUAAUUCUCCUGCAUCAGCCUCCCAAGUAGCUGGGACUACAGGUGAAAGGUUUAAGGCACUAAGGAAGAGUCACCCUUGUUGCCUCAUCAACAUUAAUUAGCUGGCAUGAUUUCCAAAUAGCCUUUGAUUAAAACCUUUGAGACAGCGACAGUCAAGAAAAACAAGGUCCAAGUCUGUGUUCGUCGAACAAAACAAAUGCAGUCCAGAACAAUCAUUUCUUGGCGUUCAUGUCCCGAAAAGCAGACCCACAAAAGACAGGCCAUCACUCAAGUUCAUCUGAGAGCAACCUGCAAGCGGAUCCAGGCUUAGGGCAUAACAAGACGGCCCACAAGCCUCGACUAUAGAGAGGUUCACAAGCACUUCUCAAGGAGCCUGUAGGAAGCUCUGUUAUCCCCAGCAGAUAACGCAGACAAUACUAAAACAUGGCCCACCAUGGCAAGACCAAGUCUCAGAUCUCUCCUCCUGGGUUGUAUGUGCUGGCCAAGGGCCUCCAAGUCCCAACGGGAACGUUCUAUCUACACCCGCAGCCUCCUGGCCCUUCCCUCCCUUCAGCGGCUGCAGCCCACAUACACCUCACUCACCUCGUACACAUUGUAUGCCUCAUCACUUCUCCCCUCUCGCAGCUUGGUGAGAUCAAAGGCUGUGGCUGAUGUGGAUAAAUUACACUCUAAUGUGAAAGACAUUCAGUCAUGCUAUUGCUUUACCUCAGGCAUCAGAGUUGGGUAAUAAAGAAAAGGCUUGUGCCUGGGUAGAAAAGG
Long non-coding RNA from Pan troglodytes (chimpanzee), 3030 nucleotides. RefSeq lists it as uncharacterized. Lineage: Eukaryota; Metazoa; Chordata; Mammalia; Primates; Hominidae. The transcript has 5 exons. The record is from RefSeq and is a predicted model, not a curated record.